Molecule: long non-coding RNA, 2970 nt
Organism: Oxyura jamaicensis (ruddy duck)
Lineage: Eukaryota; Metazoa; Chordata; Aves; Anseriformes; Anatidae
Exons: 4
Source: RefSeq, a predicted model, not a curated record
CCUUAUGAAAACUUGGACUGAUUUCAGUCACAGCUUGCUUGAGCAAAGUCAGGUAAAAAACAUAAACUUCCAGAACUUCCAUCAGGUGACUCUGCACAUGGAAGAAGGGACUGUCCUGCGUGCUACUGCUCCUGGAAAAUAGCUCUGGAAACUCCAUGCAGCACGAAAGCAAAUGGUGGAAGCUUGCAUUACUUUUAUAACUCAGAAACAUUGGCUUGUGCAACCUCCUGCCGGCAGUGCAGCUGGUCACUCUGAUGGAGCAUAUGGAAGCACCAGCAUAGAGAAAACAAGCCCCAGCCCCGGAGCAGGAGAUAAGCAGCAGAAUGCCCUUGCACCUUCUGAUUCAUACAGCUCAGGUUACAUCUCAAGGGACCCAAGGCCAGGGAAAUUGAAUUCUGUCGGAUAGCAGCAUUCUUUCGUCUUGCCUUCCAACCUCUAACCAGCCUUGAAAAUGCAUGGGAUGAAGGAUGCGAUGGAAAAACAUUCAUCACCGUGUUGACCACUGAUCAAAAGCACUUAGCUGGGAAGUGCAGGAUCUGCCAUCAUCUUUUAUUUUCUAUAGACACAAAGCAGAGUAGCUGAUCUGACAUCUGUAAAAAAAUAAUAAUAAUAAAAAAGUGAAAACCUCAAUCAAAGAGCAAUUCUCAAAUGGAAAGCCACUGUGUUAGGUUAUCAAGGAGGGUCAACAGCUUUUGAGUUCUUUCAAGUCAUUAUAAUACUUCUAGGGCUCCUUGUAUUGAAAAGGGACAAAGUACACAGUAACCUGAACCUUUUGGCCCCAAAUUCAAACCAAGUCUCAUCCCAGAAACUUUUAGUAGUAUGAAAUAGCUUGUCUGGCUUUCUGCCUUACUAAUUCACAUUCUUCUGCAUAUUCUUUUUUUUCUUUUUGGCUUGGGACUGCUGAGAAAAGUUCUUCUUAUGGCAUGUUCACUCUGGAUAAAAGUACAAAUCACUUGGAAAAUCCAGUUUUAUGAGCUUUCCAGAGUACUUGAUGGAUCACAGAGGCUUCAUUUCAGGCAGCCUGUUAUACCAGCAGGGCUCAGAUGAUGCUCACUUCAUUCUCUUGCUUCAUGAACUGGUAGGACCAUCUUCGGCCAUCUGCAGAAGCUGUCUUAGCUCUGACCGGAGGUAACUACAGAGAGCAGAGAGGGCACCUGCUUCUUCCCACCACUUUAAACUGCUUCUUUUUCUUCAGCUUUACAGUAAGUCUAUGUGACUUCUGAAAAAAAAAAAAAAUACAGAAAAGUUCUGCCCAUGCUUACAGCAGAUGAGAGUCAGCUCUGAAGCAGAACAUGCCGAUUCUCAGGACCACAUGGACCUGCACUCAGGCCAAUAAGCACUACUCAGUUUUUAACCCAUAUUAAUGAAAGUGGCAAUCUGGAUGCCUACUUCAGUGUAACACCUCUUUAAAGUAAAAUAAAGCUGUUUGCAACCGCACUGGUUAUUCUGUGCCCAAUUGUGGGCACACCGUGAAAUUUUCCAAACCAUCUGGUGGACUUCACCUAAGCUUGAUGUAAGAGUAGGGCAUUGUCAGAUGAGUGCUUGCAAUAUAUUUUGAGCCAUUUAAGAAGCUACCUGCUCUCAGCUCUAAAUUGCGGCUGCCUUAGCUGGGACAUUGUCUCUGACAUCCAUUUUGGUGCAAAGUAUGACAGAUUGACUUAAAUUGCCUGUUAAAAUUCCCUGUCUAGAAGUAACCAAAUACACUGCAGAUAUUUCAAGGUAUUUUGAUGCCAAAAGAAGCAGAUAGGCACUAGUCAGCAUUUCAAAGUCUGGAAGUACUAAUUUGCAUCCUAGAUAUCCAAUUUCCUUUCCAGAUGUGGCUUGCAGAUGCAGGGGUAUGCAGGCAUCUGACCUUACAUAGACACCUAAACACAAAAUGAUUUUAAUGGGAAUUCAGGCACUUGGUAUGGGGCUUCGUUUUACAUUUCUUCAAUCAUCUGAAAUUUAAAUGUCUUUUCUUAGCUAUUUCUGAAGAGACUCUUUACAGUUACUGAAGAGAUUUAUAGUUAUUAUGCUGUAUAGUUAUAUAUGAUAUCCCCCAUGCUGUGUAGGAGUUAAGUGCCUUGAUACCUUUGCACGUGUGUCCCUAAAGGUUUGCAUCUCUUCUGGAAAUAGGACAUAGGCAUCUAUGUUACCUAACCUUAUGUAUGUGUUUUCUGAGGGUGGCAAACUAAAGCAAAGCUUAACAUGAGAACAAAGCCCUAGCAUGAAACCGUAAGAAGAAUUAUCAUCCCCCCCAGCAUGAAGGUGCUGAAUUUCCAGUUGAAACAGCAGCUUUAUGCUGAGUUACUAGCAUUGUCUUUUUGUUUUAUGGAUAGCCUUACUUGCUUAACAGAAUCAAAGAAGAUAAAGUACUUGCAUGGAUAUGUAUUCACUGCUGUUCUGUUGGUAGUGAUUUGAAACCUUUCACUCCUGUGAUGUUAAUGUCACUUUUAAUAUUGCAAAUUCGCUAAGAUGCCAAGCGAACAGCAUUUAAAUAAUAUCUUUACAGGACUGAUGUGUUUUUGGGUGAGAAUGGUUGUGGCUUUUUUACUAGCAUCCUUGCAAAGUAUGUAGUCUGCAGCCUCCUGCUUUAAUUUCUGAUAUAAAUGUAAAUGGUAAUUUUAACAUUUUAGAUACUAACUUGAUUUCAUCUGAUUUUGGCAAGACACGUGCCAUGUAUUUUACAAUUUAAAAAUCAGGUUUGAAAAUGUCAGCUUUCAUGAGCAGGCGGGCUGUGUCAUUUACAGCACACCGAAGGCACGUGGCAGAUAAGGUAAAGUGGGGCUAAGGAGGCAUUUAGACAUGAUUUGCAUAAGAGAAGGGUGCUGGGGGGGAAAGGCUAAACUAUUGGGAAACUGGUUGCCUCAAUAUGAAUAUCUAAAUGAAACGCUGUUGGACGGCUUCUGACACUACAACUGCAUUGCACCUUGGCUACUCGUUGUGCUGGACAUUUCAUAGUUGGAUGCAGCAGCUAGCUUUAAGCCUGCA